This is a long non-coding RNA of Triplophysa dalaica, 543 nucleotides long. RefSeq lists it as uncharacterized. The transcript is spliced from 4 exons. Lineage: Eukaryota; Metazoa; Chordata; Actinopteri; Cypriniformes; Nemacheilidae. The record is from RefSeq and is a predicted model, not a curated record.
UUUACAUGCAGCGUAAAAGCGGAGUAAUGGACAAAAAACUACCUCCGCCGAGCAGGUUUUGCUUACGCUGUUUAUGAGCUCUCCCCGAUAAAAGAAAACCGUUUUACGCAUUUAGCGUUAUCAGUUUAUUAAGCUUAAUCGGAGUAAGACUGUGCAUGUAAACGCACUCCUUGGUGACAUAUUUUUUGGCUGAACUAUUCCUUAAAGAACCUAAAAGUUUGCAUGUAAUUAAACUCUUUACAUCUAGGAAUGCAUUUUGAGGUCCAUAUUGCCUGAGCGGUUGGAUCUCAGCAGAGGAUAUGUAGCUAAAAGCCUUUGUUUUAUCUGGAGCAGCAUGAUCCAGCACAGAAUCUGCUUGGCCGUUGAUUAGACUCCACCGUGGCUGGCUUUACACUUCCCGGAGACUUGGACCCCUCCGAGCGGCCGCACAAUGGGAUGGCUCACGUGCCAGAUGAGCUGGUCUCCUGCAUACAGGUAAAGUGAAUGGAGAUCUUGGAUUUGGUUCUGAAACGUCAUAACAGUGAGUACACAACACAAUUUUUG